RNAcentral lists this unclassified non-coding RNA (286 nucleotides) under Hevea brasiliensis (rubber tree). The record is from RNAcentral. Lineage: Eukaryota; Viridiplantae; Streptophyta; Magnoliopsida; Malpighiales; Euphorbiaceae.
CUAACAAAACCUCGCAUGCUGACUUAACCUGCUCCCUCCGAAACCCUCGCACUGUCACACACACACACGCACACACUCGCGCUCUCUCUCUAUCUCUCUCUCAAACUCACCCAUCUCUUCCAAGAUGAUGAAGCUAUCGAGAUUGCUGCAGCAGUCCAGAGAUGCUUCAAGGUUGCAUGCUCUUACAUUUCAGGCUGGCAUUUCAACUGCUAGGCAGGAUCUUACUGCAAACGAACGUAUAUAUGCUCCUUACUGUGUUUUCAAGGGAAAAGCUGCACUCUCAGUU